Molecule: ribosomal RNA, 253 nt
Filed under: uncultured bacterium
Lineage: Bacteria
Description: partial 16S ribosomal RNA
Rfam family: Bacterial small subunit ribosomal RNA
Source: RNAcentral
UACGAAGGGUGCAAACGUUGCUCGGAAUUAUUGGGCGUAAAGCGCACGUAGGCGGCAUUGCAAGUCGGAUGUGAAAUCUUAUGGCUUAACCAUAAAAGUGCAUCCGAAACUGCAGUGCUUGAGUACUUAAGAGGAUCGCGGAAUUCCCGGUGUAGAGGUGAAAUUCGUAGAUAUCGGGAGGAGCACCAGUGGCGAAGGCGGCGAUCUGGGAAGAUACUGACGCUGAGGUGCGAAAGCGUGGGGAGCAAACAGG